CCUACGGGAGGCAGCAGUGAGGAAUAUUGGUCAAUGGGCGGGAGCCUGAACCAGCCAAGUCGCGUGAGGAAAGACGGUCCUAUGGAUUGUAAACCUCUUUAGGCGGGGAGCAAUGCCGGGCACGCGUGCCCGGAGGGAGAGUACCCGCAGAAUAAGCAUCGGCUAACUCCGUGCCAGCAGCCGCGGUAAUACGGAGGAUGCGAGCGUUAUCCGGAUGUAUUGGGUUAAAAGGGUGCGUAGGCGGAUUUUUAAGUCAGCGGUAAAAUGUCCGGGCUCAACCCGGGCCGGCCGUUGAAACUGGGGAUCUUGAGUGGGCGAGAAGUAUGCGGAAUGCGUGGUGUAGCGGUGAAAUGCAUAGAUAUCACGCAGAACUCCGAUUGCGAAGGCAGCAUACCGGCGCCCGACUGACGCUGAGGCACGAAAGCGUGGGGAUCGAACAGGAUUAGAUACCCUAGUAGUC
This 460-nucleotide ribosomal RNA is filed under the name uncultured bacterium. Its description in RNAcentral is "partial 16S ribosomal RNA". It matches the Rfam family "Bacterial small subunit ribosomal RNA", at positions 338 to 795 of the family's 1533-position model. The record is from RNAcentral.